GAUGAAGAACGCAGCGAAAUGCGAUAAGUAGUGUGAAUUGCAGAAUUCCGUGAAUCAUCGAAUCUUUGAACGCACAUUGCGCCCCUUGGUAUUCCGAGGGGCAUGCCUGUUCGAGCGUCAUUAUAACCCUUCAAGCUCAGCUUGGUGUUGGGGCCUGCUGUAACUGGUAGCCCUUAAAAUCAGUGGCAGUGCUAUUAGGCUCUAAGCGUAGUAAUUCUUCUCGCUAUAGUGUGUAGUGAGCGCUUGCCAGAACCCCAAACUUUUAUAUGAUUGACCUCGGAUCAGGUAGGGAUACCCGCUGAACUUAAGCAUAUCAAUAAGCGGAGGA
RNAcentral lists this unclassified non-coding RNA (328 nucleotides) under soil metagenome. RNAcentral's name for it is "partial contains 5.8S ribosomal RNA, internal transcribed spacer 2, and large subunit ribosomal RNA". The stretch from base 1 to 120 matches the Rfam family "5.8S ribosomal RNA", at positions 35 to 154 of the family's 154-position model. The record is from RNAcentral.